UUUUGUGCUCACGGCAGCCAGCAGCUUUUGACACCAAGAUCAGGGACAGAAUCCUGUGAUGUAAAUUUAGGAGCAGCAAAUUCGAGGACUGAUUAGUUAAUGAGGCUGUUAAGUCGCCUGUUUUUACUAAUUAAACGCAUAAUUCUUAACAGAUGGAAAUUUCUCCGACUGGGUGACAGAAUGAUUUUUGUUAACCUCUGUAAGGCUGGGAAGAAUUAAAGGGGUGUUCCAAGGCCUUGCGGGAACGGAAGGGUUAAACUUCGCCUGGUAUCCCACCAAUCCAUCCAAUAGCCACAUUAAAUCUGUUAAUACCAUGCACUUCAACCUCCCAAAAAUUAUUUCCAGAAGGCAGACUUGCUCCACGAGAUCAUCAAACAAGGCUUUAGGUUCACAUUUUCUCACAUUUUCCCUACCACAGAGCUCAGGAUGCGGAGGAGAAUUCAUGACUUUUACAGUGUUUAUUAUACUUUGUAAAAUUACGAAAUCAAAAGCGCCUGACAGCAAAACGCCGGAUCGGGCCAAAAAAGUUAAUAAUGUUCUGUGAAACGUAAACUGUAAAUGGGGGCAGGAUUUAAAAAUUUCAAAGCAAAAAAAGCAGAACAUACACAAAUUAUGGGUUUUGAAGAUUUGUAGUUUUGCUUACUUGAAACAUUUUUUUUCUUUUUUCUUUAUCAAAUGACUAUAAUUUGAAAUAAUUUUAUUUUUUUCCGAAAGCAAAGAGAUUUUCAAAAUGGAAGCAGCAGGCUUAUCCAAAUAAACGUGGCUGACGUAAAAAUUUUCAUCAAGAACGGUAUUCAUGAAGGUAUCUAGAGAGAACAACCCCUGUUUAAAUAAUGGUAAAGCUGAUCUGGUUCUGAUAAAAUCCAGCAGGGAACUAAUGAACACUCAAUAAAAAUUGGAUCAUAGUGAAGCACUUAGGAGGAUACGCCUUGAUUGUCAUGAACUUUAUGGAUAGUGUUUUUCUUUUUUUUUUCUUUUUUUACAAGACACCCCCUAUGAACAUUAGAAGAGAAGCAUCCCAAUGAGUUACUAUGUAUGUUCCUGUUGUAUAUAUUAUUUUGUGCUCUUGUGACGACAGUGGGUGGAUUGGA
Hyla sarda is the source of this 1091-nucleotide long non-coding RNA. RefSeq lists it as uncharacterized. The transcript is spliced from 4 exons. The record is from RefSeq and is a predicted model, not a curated record. Lineage: Eukaryota; Metazoa; Chordata; Amphibia; Anura; Hylidae.